GAAUAUUGGACAAUGGGCGCAAGCCUGAUCCAGCCAUACCGCGUGGGUAAAGAAGGCCUUCGGGUUGUAAAGCCCUUUUGUUGGGGAAGAAAAGCAGUCCAUUCAUACUCGGUUGUUCUGACGGUACCCAAAGAAUAAGCACCGGCUAACUUCGUGACAGCAGCCGCGGUACUACGAAGGGUGCAAGCGUUACUCGGAAUUACUGGGCGUAAAGCGUGCGUAGGUGGUUGUUUAAGUCUGUUGUGAAAGCCCUGGGCUCAACCUGGGAAUUGCAGUGGAUACUGGGCGACUAGAGUGUGGUAGAGGGUAGUGGAAUUCCCGGUGUAGCAGUGAAAUGCGUAGAGAUCGGGAGGAACAUCCAUGGCGAAGGCAGCUACCUGGACCAACACUGACACUAAGGCACGAAAGCGUGGGGAGCAAACA
Molecule: ribosomal RNA, 423 nt
Filed under: uncultured bacterium
Lineage: Bacteria
Description: partial 16S ribosomal RNA
Rfam family: Bacterial small subunit ribosomal RNA
Source: RNAcentral